AGAUGGUCCACACGAAGUCCUCGGAUCGAUCAGCCCUCUGUGGGAGUGCAAGCUUACGCAGUCGGCUUCUGAUGAUAGAUCUGAUUUGAUAUCUUCCUUCGAUCACCUCAAAUCUUUUUGAUGUCGAAGAUGGAUCAGAGAAGAUACUGGAUGGUGGAGAAAAAUAUGAUGAAGACUCUCUUCUCUUCAGUUUUUCUCUCACCCAAAAUCUUAGAACAGUUCAAGGUCGC
RNAcentral lists this long non-coding RNA (230 nucleotides) under Elaeis guineensis (African oil palm). Its description in RNAcentral is "long non-coding RNA (EGUI_LNC062885)". The record is from RNAcentral. Lineage: Eukaryota; Viridiplantae; Streptophyta; Magnoliopsida; Arecales; Arecaceae.